UGGGGCGUCGCCAAGUGGUAUAAGGCAACGGGUUUUGAUCCCGGUACUGCGAAGGUUCGAAUCCUUUCGCCCCAA
RNAcentral lists this transfer RNA (75 nucleotides) under Passiflora suberosa. RNAcentral's name for it is "tRNA-Gln". It matches the Rfam family "tRNA". Rfam says of the family: Transfer RNA (tRNA) molecules are approximately 80 nucleotides in length. Their secondary structure includes four short double-helical elements and three loops (D, anti-codon, and T loops). The record is from RNAcentral. Lineage: Eukaryota; Viridiplantae; Streptophyta; Magnoliopsida; Malpighiales; Passifloraceae. RNAcentral also lists the same sequence under 1 other name.